This 1423-nucleotide ribosomal RNA is filed under the name Chinaberry witches'-broom phytoplasma. RNAcentral describes it as "bacterial SSU rRNA". It matches the Rfam family "Bacterial small subunit ribosomal RNA". Lineage: Bacteria; Bacillati; Mycoplasmatota; Mollicutes; Acholeplasmatales; Acholeplasmataceae. The record is from RNAcentral.
CGAGACGGAGUUUAAGCAAUUAAACUUUAGUGGCGAACGGGUGAGUAACGCGUAAGCAAUCUGCCCCUAAGACGAGGAUAACAGUUGGAAACGACUGCUAAGACUGGAUAGGAGACAAGAAGGCAUCUUCUUGUUUUUAAAAGACCUAGCAAUAGGUAUGCUUAGGGAGGAGCUUGCGUCACAUUAGUUAGUUGGUGGGGUAAAGGCCUACCAAGACUAUGAUGUGUAGCCGGGCUGAGAGGUUGAACGGCCACAUUGGGACUGAGACACGGCCCAAACUCCUACGGGAGGCAGCAGUAGGGAAUUUUCGGCAAUGGAGGAAACUCUGACCGAGCAACGCCGCGUGAACGAUGAAGUAUUUCGGUACGUAAAGUUCUUUUAUUAGGGAAGAAUAAAUGAUGGAAAAAUCAUUCUGACGGUACCUAAUGAAUAAGCCCCGGCUAACUAUGUGCCAGCAGCCGCGGUAAUACAUAGGGGGCAAGCGUUAUCCGGAAUUAUUGGGCGUAAAGGGUGCGUAGGCGGUUAAAUAAGUUUAUGGUCUAAGUGCAAUGCUCAACAUUGUGAUGCUAUAAAAACUGUUUAGCUAGAGUAAGAUAGAGGCAAGUGGAAUUCCAUGUGUAGUGGUAAAAUGCGUAAAUAUAUGGAGGAACACCAGUAGCGAAGGCGGCUUGCUGGGUCUUUACUGACGCUGAGGCACGAAAGCGUGGGGAGCAAACAGGAUUAGAUACCCUGGUAGUCCACGCCGUAAACGAUGAGUACUAAACGUUGGGUAAAACCAGUGUUGAAGUUAACACAUUAAGUACUCCGCCUGAGUAGUACGUACGCAAGUAUGAAACUUAAAGGAAUUGACGGGACUCCGCACAAGCGGUGGAUCAUGUUGUUUAAUUCGAAGGUACCCGAAAAACCUCACCAGGUCUUGACAUGCUUCUGCAAAGCUGUAGAAACACAGUGGAGGUUAUCAGUUGCACAGGUGGUGCAUGGUUGUCGUCAGCUCGUGUCGUGAGAUGUUGGGUUAAGUCCCGCAACGAGCGCAACCCUUAUUGUUAGUUACCAGCACGUAAUGGUGGGGACUUUAGCAAGACUGCCAGUGAUAAAUUGGAGGAAGGUGGGGACGACGUCAAAUCAUCAUGCCCCUUAUGACCUGGGCUACAAACGUGAUACAAUGGCUGUUACAAAGGGUAGCUGAAGCGCAAGUUUUUGGCGAAUCUCAAAAAAACAGUCUCAGUUCGGAUUGAAGUCUGCAACUCGACUUCAUGAAGUUGGAAUCGCUAGUAAUCGCGAAUCAGCAUGUCGCGGUGAAUACGUUCUCGGGGUUUGUACACACCGCCCGUCAAACCACGAAAGUUGGCAAUACCCAAAGCCGGUGGCCUAACUUCGCAAGAAGAGGGAACCGUCUAAGGUAGGGUCGAUGAUUGGGGUUAAG